RNAcentral lists this ribosomal RNA (490 nucleotides) under uncultured Propionibacterium sp. Its description in RNAcentral is "bacterial SSU rRNA". It matches the Rfam family "Bacterial small subunit ribosomal RNA", at positions 26 to 507 of the family's 1533-position model. Lineage: Bacteria; Bacillati; Actinomycetota; Actinomycetes; Propionibacteriales; Propionibacteriaceae. The record is from RNAcentral.
GGCGUCAGGACGAACGGCUGGCGGCGUGCUUAACACAUAGCAAGUCGUAACGGAAAGGGACCCGUGCGUUUUGUGGGGUGGCUCGAGUGGCGAACGGGUAGAGUACACGUGAGUAACCUGCCCUUGACUUUGGGUAGUAACUUCUAGGAAACUGGGGCGUAAUACCGGAGUAGGAGCUCCUGCUGCAUGGUGGGGGUUGGAAAGUUUCGGCGGUUGGGGAUGGACUCGCGGCUUAUCAGCUUGUUGGUGGGGUAGUGGCUUACCAAGGCUUUGACGGGUAGCCGGCCUGAGAGGGUGACCGGCCACAUUGGAACUGAGAUACGGCCCAGACUCCUACGGGAGGCAGCAGUGGGGAAAUAUUGCACAAUGGGCGGAAGCCUGAUGCAGCAACGCCGCGUGCGGGAUGACGGCCUUCGGGUUGUAAACCGCUUUCGCCUGUGACGAAGCGUGAGUGACGGUAAUGGGUAAAGAAGCACCGGCUAACUACGUG